UAUUUUUUGUAGAGAUGGGGUUUCACCACGUUGCUACAUCUGUGCACUUAAUUUGGAGAGUGGGGUGCUGCAUGCUUUGAAAUCAGGCUCAUGUGUACACAACCCCAUCCUUUGGAGGAUAUCAAUAUUCAGAUAAGAGAACACAUUUGACUUCCCCAUUUAUUGGCAACAUCCAUCUUUGUUAAGAGUUUAUUUUGUUAACUUUUUUUUCCAAUCCAACAAUGA
This 225-nucleotide long non-coding RNA is filed under the name Pan troglodytes (chimpanzee). Its description in RNAcentral is "long non-coding RNA NONPTRT004783". The record is from RNAcentral. Lineage: Eukaryota; Metazoa; Chordata; Mammalia; Primates; Hominidae.